UGGGGAAUUUUGGGCAAUGGGGGAAACCCUGACCCAGCAACGCCGCGUGAAGGAUGAAGUAUUUCGGUAUGUAAACUUCGAAAGAAUAGGAAGAAUAAAUGGCGGUACUAUUUAUAAGGUCCGGCUAACUACGUGCCAGCAGCCGCGGUAAUACGUAGGGACCAAGCGUUGUUCGGAUUUACUGGGCGUAAAGGGCGCGUAGGCGGCAAUUCAAGUCAUCUGUGAAAUCUCCGGGCUUAACUCGGAACGGUCAGAUGAUACUGCUUUGCUAGAGUGCAGAAGGGGCAAUCGGAAUUCUUGGUGUAGCGGUGAAAUGCGUAGAUAUCAAGAGGAACACCUGAGGUGAAGACGGGUUGCUGGGCUGACACUGACGCUGAGGCGCGAAAGCCAGGGGAGCAAACGGGAUUAGAUACCCUAGUAGUCCCUGAGCGGGCUGGCAAGGCGCAU
This 447-nucleotide ribosomal RNA is filed under the name uncultured bacterium. Its description in RNAcentral is "bacterial SSU rRNA". It matches the Rfam family "Bacterial small subunit ribosomal RNA", at positions 355 to 825 of the family's 1533-position model. The record is from RNAcentral.